GGUAGUAUGGCUGAUUUUAGGCGGUAGUCUGUAAAAUUACACAUAGGGGGUCCCCCUUACUACCA
Molecule: transfer RNA, 65 nt
Filed under: Opisthotropis guangxiensis
Lineage: Eukaryota; Metazoa; Chordata; Lepidosauria; Squamata; Natricidae
Description: tRNA-Tyr
Source: RNAcentral